Non-coding RNA from Xylaria palmicola, 87 nucleotides. The record is from the annotation of a GenBank genome assembly. Lineage: Eukaryota; Fungi; Ascomycota; Sordariomycetes; Xylariales; Xylariaceae.
GGCCUCGUGGCCCAAUGGCAAGGCGUCUGACUACGAUGGAACACUUCCGCAAUCAGGAGAUUCUGGGUUCGACCCCCAGCGAGGUCA